Molecule: ribosomal RNA, 253 nt
Filed under: uncultured bacterium
Lineage: Bacteria
Description: partial 16S ribosomal RNA
Rfam family: Bacterial small subunit ribosomal RNA
Source: RNAcentral
UACGGAGGGUGCAAGCGUUAUCCGGAUUCACUGGGUUUAAAGGGUGCGUAGGUGGGUUGGUAAGUCAGUGGUGAAAUCCCCGAGCUUAACUUGGGAACUGCCAUUGAUACUAUCAAUCUUGAAUACUGUGGAGGUCAGCGGAAUAUGUCAUGUAGCGGUGAAAUGCUUAGAUAUGACAUAGAACACCAAUUGCGAAGGCAGCUGGCUACACAAAUAUUGACACUGAGGCACGAAAGCGUGGGGAUCAAACAGG